GGGCCCGUGUGACGCUUGCGAGCCCCCCGGGCCCCGGGGCGGCUCGCCCUUUGCCCACCCCUGGGUGGCCCCUCCCAGGGGCCUGGGCCAUGAUGCUGUGCAACCCUUCCCAGCUGGGCUUGGCCGCAGCGACCUCCUCCCCCAGGCCGGCUGUGGGACUACACCGGGAUUCGGUGCCCACCCUCCCAUGGCUUGACUCAGGGAUCAGGUCCCUAAAGGAUCAGGGGUGCCUUCCAGGCAUGCAUUAAGCAACCUGACUAACAGCUGCCAUCUGUACUUUGUUCCUGAGCUUUGAAAUUCAAGUCCUCUGUUCACCGGGGCCUGGUAAAUAUUAUCUGCAUUGUACAGAUCAAUUCUCCAAUUUGUCAAGCUAAUUUUGAAUUCGCAUCUUACCCUCCAAAGCACUUCUCAGCUUGGCGUCAUCUGCAAAUAUGUUAUAAGCGCACAGAGCUUUGUUUCAGAAGAUGGAGUGUAUCUACCUUUACAUUUGAGAAGUAUCACUUAGAUAUAAAAGCACCAGAGGAGUCCCUGCAAGGGAGAGGUUACAGUCAUCACGAGGCCCUGCAGGAACUGAGACCCAUUGACUGAAGUAUACCUGCCUCUUAUCUUCACUGCAUUCUGACCCCAUCCUAUAUAUUAGCCCCCACCUCUGCUGUUUCCCAGAGCUCUCCCUGCACCUAGGUCUCUUUUCUGAGCCUUCUCUGCAACUCAUGUGCCAGAGCUCAAUAGGAGCAUUUAGUAAGACUGUCAUUCAUUCAGUGGAUUAUUAUGAUGAUACCUGCUGAGUAACACAAA
Dermochelys coriacea (leatherback sea turtle) is the source of this 795-nucleotide long non-coding RNA. RefSeq lists it as uncharacterized. The record is from RefSeq and is a predicted model, not a curated record. The transcript has 3 exons. NCBI's taxonomy places the organism in Eukaryota, Metazoa, Chordata, Testudines, Dermochelyidae.